GUGAUUUUUGUUUUAAUAAAUAGUUCUGUGACAACUCUCAAGUCAAUAACUCUACAAGAUGAACAAGCUAAUUUUCGUAUUUCUGCUCGCCAUGUUCGUGGCUUGUUUUGCUGAGAAAGAGAUAGAACCUAAAACGUCAGAGGCCCACGAAGAUAAGCCAACGUACCCGGUCCUUCCAUACCCGGGUCUAUACCCGGGCCUGUACCCCUAUCGGGACGCCUUGUACCCAUACCGUAAUGGGUUCUACCCGUACGGGCGGUAUUUUGGAUUUCCCUAUUAUGAACCGGCUGCGCGCGGUUACGUCUACGGAUAUUAAUUACAACUUUCUGAUUCGAUCUUUGAACAAUGGCUUUUGAUUUGAUUGA
Long non-coding RNA from Plodia interpunctella (Indianmeal moth), 365 nucleotides. RefSeq lists it as uncharacterized. NCBI's taxonomy places the organism in Eukaryota, Metazoa, Arthropoda, Insecta, Lepidoptera, Pyralidae. The record is from RefSeq and is a predicted model, not a curated record. The transcript is spliced from 2 exons.